UACGAAGGGGGCUAGCGUUGCUCGGAAUCACUGGGCGUAAAGGGUGCGUAGGCGGGUCUUUAAGUCAGGGGUGAAAUCCUGGAGCUCAACUCCAGAACUGCCUUUGACACUGAGGAUCUUGAGUUCGGGAGAGGUGAGUGGAACUGCGAGUGUAGAGGUGAAAUUCGUAGAUAUUCGCAAGAACACCAGUGGCGAAGGCGGCUCACUGGCCCGAUACUGACGCUGAGGCACGAAAGCGUGGGGAGCAAACAGG
This 253-nucleotide ribosomal RNA is filed under the name uncultured bacterium. Its description in RNAcentral is "partial 16S ribosomal RNA". It matches the Rfam family "Bacterial small subunit ribosomal RNA", at positions 524 to 776 of the family's 1533-position model. The record is from RNAcentral.